GUGAAUCAUCAAAUUUUUGAACGCAAAUUGCACUCUCUGGUAUUCCGGAGAGCAUGCCUGUUUGAGGGUCAGUUUAAAUAAAAAUCGGUGUGUUUCCCGCCAUCCGUGGUGACGCACCGGAUUUGGAUCGUCUCGCCUUCAGUUAAGUGACCUAAAAUUUUUCAUGAUUUUUUCGAACUAUCUUAAAUUAUUUUAAGUACGACUGCGAUAUCGAUUUCUAGUUGCGGACAUCUUCAUGAUUCUCGUGUA
Molecule: unclassified non-coding RNA, 249 nt
Filed under: Glomeromycetes sp.
Lineage: Eukaryota; Fungi; Glomeromycota; Glomeromycetes
Description: partial contains 5.8S ribosomal RNA and internal transcribed spacer 2
Rfam family: 5.8S ribosomal RNA (bases 1-71)
Source: RNAcentral